RNAcentral lists this ribosomal RNA (380 nucleotides) under Rhipicephalus sanguineus (brown dog tick). RNAcentral's name for it is "partial large subunit ribosomal RNA". The record is from RNAcentral. Lineage: Eukaryota; Metazoa; Arthropoda; Arachnida; Ixodida; Ixodidae. RNAcentral also lists the same sequence under 1 other name.
UUUAAUUGAAUGCUAAGAGAAUGGAAGUCCAGAAAAAAACUUUUUUUAAAUUAAAAAUUGAAGUUUUUUUAAUUUGUGCAGAAACAAUUAUUUAUAUUAAAGACAAGAAGACCCUAUGAAUUUAUUAAAUUUUUAUUUAAUAUGUAAUUACUAUUAGAAAAAUUUUGGCUGGGGCGGCUAGAAAAUAUUAUGAACUUUUUAAAAAUAAAAUGAUCCAUUAUUAAUGAUUUUAUGUUAAAUACUCUAGGGAUAACAGCGUUAUAUUUUUUGAUAGAUCAUAUUGACAAAAAAGUUUGCGACCUCGAUGUUGGAUUAGGAUACUUUUUUAAUGAAGAUAUUAAAAAAAGAAGUUUGUUCAACUUUUAAUUUCCUACUUGAUC